RNAcentral lists this ribosomal RNA (548 nucleotides) under Dujonia zeylanoides. RNAcentral describes it as "[Candida] zeylanoides partial 26S ribosomal RNA". It matches the Rfam family "Eukaryotic large subunit ribosomal RNA", at positions 89 to 655 of the family's 3401-position model. The record is from RNAcentral. Lineage: Eukaryota; Fungi; Ascomycota; Pichiomycetes; Serinales; Debaryomycetaceae.
GCGAGUGAGCGGCAAAGCUCAAAUUUGAAAUCUAGCACUUUCAGUGUUCGAGUUGUAAUUUGAAGAAGGUAACUUUGGUUUUGGCUCUUGUCUAUGUUCCUUGGAACAGGACGUCACAGAGGGUGAGAAUCCCGUGCGAUGAGAUGCCCAAUUCCAUGUAAAGUGCUUUCGAAGAGUCGAGUUGUUUGGGAAUGCAGCUCUAAGUGGGUGGUAAAUUCCAUCUAAAGCUAAAUAUUGGCGAGAGACCGAUAGCGAACAAGUACAGUGAUGGAAAGAUGAAAAGAACUUUGAAAAGAGAGUGAAAAAGUACGUGAAAUUGUUGAAAGGGAAGGGCUUGAGAUCAGACUUGGUAUUUUGCGUUCCCUUCCUUUUUGGUUGGGUUCCUCGCAGUUUACUGGGCCAGCAUCGGUUUGGAUGGUAGGAUAAUGACAUUGGAAUGUAGCUUUACUUCGGUGAAGUGUUAUAGACUUUGUUGAUACUGCCUAUCUAGACCGAGGACUGCGUCUUUGACUAGGAUGCUGGCGUAAUGAUCUUAAGCCGCCCGUCUU